RNAcentral lists this unclassified non-coding RNA (255 nucleotides) under uncultured fungus. Its description in RNAcentral is "partial contains 5.8S ribosomal RNA, internal transcribed spacer 2, and large subunit ribosomal RNA". The stretch from base 1 to 52 matches the Rfam family "5.8S ribosomal RNA", at positions 103 to 154 of the family's 154-position model. The record is from RNAcentral. Lineage: Eukaryota; Fungi.
AACGCACAUUGCGCCCUUUGGUAUUCCGAAGGGCAUGCCUGUUCGAGCGUCAUUAUCACCUCUCAAGCCUGGCUUGCUGUUGGACUCCGUUAAGCUUUUAGCUACUACUGGUCCCAAAGAUAAUGACGGCGUCUGUGAGGACCCCAGUACACUGAGCUUUUUAAGCACGUAUUAGGUGGGAGUCCAGGCCCGGUCUUACUUAUUUUUAUCACUAAGGUUGACCUCGGAUCAGGUAGGAAUACCCGCUGAACUUAA